GAUGGGCUCGCGAGACAUUAGCUAGUUGGUGAGGUAACGGCCCACCAAGGCUACGAUGUCUAGGGGUUCUGAGAGGAAGGUCCCCCACAUUGGAACUGAGACACGGUCCAAACUCCUACGGGAGGCAGCAGUGAGGAAUAUUGGUCAAUGGACGGAAGUCUGAACCAGCCAUGCCGCGUGCACGAAUAAGGUCCUAUGGGUCGUAAACUGCUUUUGUGGUGGAGCAAUAAGGCGUACGUGUAACGUCUAUGAGAGUACAUCACGAAUAAGCAUCGGCUAACUCCGUGCCAGCAGCCGGCGGUAAUACGGAGGAUGCCAAGCGUUAUCCGGAUUUACUGGGCGUAAAGGGCGCGUAGGCGGUCUUGCGUGUCAGACGUGAAAUCUCCGGGCUCAACCCGGAAAGUGCGUCUGAAACUACAGGACUCGAGUCUGGGAGAGGGAAUCGGAAUGCAGGGUGUAGCGGUGAAAUGCGUUGAUAUCCUGCAGAACACCGGAGGCGAAGGCGGAUUCCUUGAACAGCACUGACGCUGAGGCGCGAAAGUCGGGGGAGCAAACAGGAUUAGAUACCCUGGUAGUCCCGACCUUAAACGGUGCACACUCGGGGUGGGGCUUUUCAUCGGCCCCGUCUCUUAGCUAACGCGUUAAGUGUGCCGCCUGGGGAGUACGGCCGCAAGGCUAACACUCAAAGAAAUUGACGGGGGCCCGCACAAGCAGAGGAGCAUGUGGCUUAAUUCGAUGCAACGCGAAGAACCUUACCUGGAUUUGACAUACUUCUGCACGGCCUGUGAAAGCAGGCUUCCUUCGAGGGUGAAGUACAGGUGCUGCAUGGCUGUCGUCAGUUCGUGCCGUGAGGUGUUUGGUUAAGUCCACCAACGAACGCAACCCCUUUGCGAUGUUGCCAGCGGGUAAUGCCGGGAACUCGUCGCAUACUGCUCGUUUACGCGAGAGGAAGGUGGGGAUGACGUCAAGUCAGUAUGGCCCUUACAUCCAGGGCUGCACACGUGCUACAAUGGCCGGUACAGAGCGAAGCGAGACCGCAAGGUGGAGCGAAUCGCACAGAGCCGGCCUCAGUUCAGAUUGGGGUCUGCAACCCGACCCCAUGAAGUCGGAUUUGCUAGUAACGGCAUAUCAGCUACGACGCCGUGAAUGCGUUCCCGGGCC
This 1161-nucleotide ribosomal RNA is filed under the name uncultured bacterium. RNAcentral's name for it is "bacterial SSU rRNA". It matches the Rfam family "Bacterial small subunit ribosomal RNA", at positions 224 to 1380 of the family's 1533-position model. The record is from RNAcentral.